GUUUCAGUUAACAUUAGAAUCUGGUUCUGCCUAGAAUAGCGAAACAAAGCAAGAGUCUGUAGCCAAAGGAUUUCCUUGAUGAGGAAAUAAUUUUGAGAUGGAGGAACCAAGGUGGCUGGACUCCAGACAAUAUUCGAGUUCCAUUUCCAGCUUCCUUGGCAUCCGAUGAUGUUGCGGCUGUACUACAGUGAUGUCGGCUCAAAUUUACUACAGCGGCAGCCUAAUAUAUUUAUAGCGAAGGAUUGGUAAUAGUCCUUCUAAAUGAUAAUAUAGUAUCUGUUGAAGUGCUAGCUGCUCUUUCAGUUUAACAGUAGGAAGAAACCAGAGUAGCAUUGUACCUUGCCGACAAAAGAAGUACAAUGCACCGAACAUAGGUCUAAUCAUUACCUGAAAUGAAAUUUCAGCUCUAAAGCAAUGCGAUAAUAAUCUCUGAAGGAUUCAUUUAGCUUGAUACGAUAGUCAAAAGCACAUUAUACGUAUAUAUGUAUAUGCUACCUCUGUUUCGAAUCCUAUCUUUUUAUAUAUAUCCAGUAUUCUCCGU
Molecule: long non-coding RNA, 541 nt
Organism: Papaver somniferum (opium poppy)
Lineage: Eukaryota; Viridiplantae; Streptophyta; Magnoliopsida; Ranunculales; Papaveraceae
Exons: 2
Source: RefSeq, a predicted model, not a curated record